UUUUACAGCCAUACCACCCUAAACGCGUCCAAUCUCAUCUGAUCUCAGAAGCUAAGCAGGGUCAGGCCUGGUUAGUACUUAGAUGGGAUCAGGGCAUUUGAUGAAUUAGGGGAAGAGGUGUUGAGGCAA
This 129-nucleotide ribosomal RNA is filed under the name Tupaia belangeri (northern tree shrew). The record is from RNAcentral. Lineage: Eukaryota; Metazoa; Chordata; Mammalia; Scandentia; Tupaiidae.